Molecule: long non-coding RNA, 2710 nt
Organism: Dalotia coriaria
Lineage: Eukaryota; Metazoa; Arthropoda; Insecta; Coleoptera; Staphylinidae
Exons: 2
Source: RefSeq, a predicted model, not a curated record
UUUUGGGCUAAUAAAUUAUGAUGACUUAACAGAAAAUUACUAAACUUUAUUUAGUAGUUUGUGUUUAUUUGAAGAAAGUCAAGUCAUGCAAUACCCAAAAUGCUGGUAUUUAUUGUAUUUUAUCAAAUGUGAAGUAGUUGAUUAUUUCAACAUCAAGAAAUUGUGAAAUUGGAAAAACCGGCAAUCAGGAAAAAUAACUCAACAUUGACGUCAUUUCCCCUAUUCAGGUUCAAUCAGAUAUUAAGUUAAUAAAAUUUCUAUGAAUCUACUCCAAUAUGCGUCCAAUUUUCCAUUUUGUCAACUAAACUUUGACGUUACAACUAAAAUCAUUAAUUUUGGCACAAAUUUAAAAACUAUAAAUUUAAAUCUAAUUAUUAACCAAAUAAAUCAACAUAUUUUAUAAUAACAUCCGAUUCAUUGUAAAUAAAAUAUAUUUCUGUGGAUUAUAUAUUUUUUCAAAAACAAUUAUCAUGCCAACUAAAUAAAACGACUAAAAAUCUACUUAGGUAUUUAUUAAAUAGUUAAUAUCAUGGUCAUUGCUCUUAGUUUUCCCUGCCCAUGCAAAAACAACAAUGUCAUCAUGUCACUUACCUCCGUUUUAACUUUAAUAACAAUAAAUGUUUAAAUAACACCGACACGACACUUAAAUAAUCCAAAAAUUGUGCACUUACAAAAACACAUUACUUCAAUAGCUAUAAUAAAUCUAUUAAAAACGUGCUAGACUAUUGUCACGUAAAACUCAUAAAAAAGUUACUGCAACAAUUAAAUUUACUUUGUGAAUCAUCAAUGCACCAAUGCAUUCGUGUGCAUUCAUGUUUAAUCGGCUUUUGUAUAUACAGUGCUCUAUACAACCCAUACAAUUGUUCUUUUUCACUACUUUCGUGAUUAUCGUUAUCAAAAUUUCAACAUGACUCAAUAAUUUAUACUUAUAUUUAUUAACAACUCCUCUCAGUAGUGAAUAAUAAUGGAAUAUUUGAAUGACUUUUAUUGGAAACUUUACUCACCCAAAACUUCCAAGAACUUAAAUAUUAAAUAUUCUUCACAAAUGUUUAUCACAUUUUGUUUAUAAACACACUAAUUGUCUCAGACACAAAUUACACUAUGUAUAUCAAGGUAAAACAAUAACAAUCUUCUUAAAUCUAGAUCACUUUAAGUUUUAAGGUUAUGAAUUCAUAUAAUAUCCCGUCGCAUGAAGAUAUAGACACAGUUUAUGCGUUUAUAGUGUUAAUUUACACUUAUUGUUCUCGUGAUAAGGUGUUUUUCAUUGUAUUUACUAAGAUUGCAAUCAAUUUGUAUGCACUACCUAUUGUCAUCACUUGUUUAUAGUAUUUACCUUGCUAUUGAAGUAAAAAAUCAAAACAGAAUACAAAUUAAUGAUUUCAUUAUGUAGUUCAAUAUCACUUGGUCACACUUUAGUGAACAAACUAAAAUAAAAACGCGCUAUGUGAAGCACAUUAUGCGAAAUAUGUCUUAUCAGAUCAUGAAUGUUACCACAUUUAUGGUUUUGUUGUCAUAUGAUUCGUUAUUUCGCAUUAUACGCUGUUUUAUUUUUAUUACUAAUGAUAACAGAACAAUUGUGUUCCGCACAAUUACAUUGUACAUAUACACUACUAUAUAAAUCAGCGUUGAUUCUCUCCCAGUAGGUAAUUAUAAUCAUAAUCCCAAUGAUUAUAAUCAGUUAAUGCGGUUUAAUACAACCUGUCUGCUCCUCUGACGAGAUUAGUUAGAUUACUUGAUAGUUGUUCACCUCGUGCGCUUAUCACGGUCAUGCACACGAUUAGCAUCAUUCGCAUGACAUUUUCGAAUAGAAAUAUGCCAUAUAUCAUAACUCACAAUCAACGUUAUUAUCGCAGACACAAAAAAUCAGAUUCAUCCUUUAUUAAUAGGACAACGUAAUCAUAGUAAAUAUUAUCCACAGAUAAAGAAAAACUACUACAACUUAUAUGUAUCCAUCUUGAAAUCAUUCAUAUAAAACUAUUAUUUAUCUUAUACAUACUAAAAUUAACUUAAUGUUUAAAUAACCAUCAAUCGCGGUGCAAUAUUCAUCGACAUCAAUUCCUGGAAAAGCAACUUCGCCGCAUACGGUAAUUUCACCUGUGAAAUCUGCGUCUUAUUCUUACAACCCUUACACUCAAACGUAUUAUUCCUCAUGUUGGCAAUCGCAAUUAACCCGCAGAAGUUACAAAUGUGUAUACGAUACGGAUCUGACACCUCAAAGAGACGCUCUUUCAAAAACUGCGCUGCGCCGUGACUGAUUUGACAAUCACGCUCCAUCUCACCGAAACGCAAGCCGCCAUCACGCGCCCUACCUUCCAUAGGUUGACGAACCAAAAUCUGCACAGGACCACGCGCUCUUGAGUGAAUUUUAUCAUCCACCAUAUGUUUCAAGCGCUGAUAGUAAGUAGGUCCAAGGAAGACCUGCGCGUUGAUUUUCCUUCCUGUAUGACCAUUGUACAUCACCUCAUUACCACGCAAGUGAUAACCGUACUCUUGUAAAAGCGUGGAGAUUUUCUGUACGUUGACAGCAUCGUUAAAUGGAGUAGCAUCACCGAUUUCUCCUUUGUUUGAGGAAACUUUACCCUGGAUACAUUCAAUCAAAUGACCAAUUGUCAUACGUGAGGGAUAGCGUGAGGAUUGAUGAUGAUAUCCGGUGUAAGACCUUCGCAAGUAAAUGGCAUAUCCUGAAAAUUAAAGAUUAUGUUAAAAAUGA